CAAAAAUUCUUCUAGUUAAUGUUACCAACUAUCCUUGUAAGACAUAAAUCUAGACCAACAGCUAAAAACUUUAAAGUGUCAACAAAAAUAAUCUAAAAAUGUUGUUUUGAGGCAUUUUGUUAGUUGAAACAGAGGUUUUAUGACAUUGAAGAUUAAAGUUUUAGAAUGCCUUUUGAUCAAUUUUUCAACACAGGGCAUUGAAAAUGUACUUUUUCAAAGUAAA
RNAcentral lists this long non-coding RNA (223 nucleotides) under Mytilus galloprovincialis (Mediterranean mussel). The record is from RNAcentral. Lineage: Eukaryota; Metazoa; Mollusca; Bivalvia; Mytilida; Mytilidae.